UGAGGAAUAAGCUUUGUAGGAAAUGACAAAGCGAUGACGUUAAUUUAUGAAUAAGCCCCGGCUAAUUACGUGCCAGCAGCCGCGGUAAUACGUAAGGGGCGAGCGUUGUUCGGGAUUAUUGGGCGUAAAGGGUGAGUAGGCGGAUAUAUAAGUCUAUGCAUAAAAUACCACAGCUCAACUGUGGAGCUAUGUUGGAAACUAUAUGUCUAGAGUCUGAUAGAGGAAGUUAGAAUUUCUGGUGUAAGGGUGGAAUCUGUUGAUAUCAGGAAGAAUACCGGAGGCGAAGGCGAACUUCUGGGUCAAGACUGACGCUGAGUCACGAAAGC
This 326-nucleotide ribosomal RNA is filed under the name uncultured Borreliella sp. Its description in RNAcentral is "bacterial SSU rRNA". It matches the Rfam family "Bacterial small subunit ribosomal RNA", at positions 443 to 760 of the family's 1533-position model. Lineage: Bacteria; Pseudomonadati; Spirochaetota; Spirochaetia; Spirochaetales; Borreliaceae. The record is from RNAcentral.